GAUUAGAGCUUGCUCUUAUGAAGUUAGCGGCGGAGGGGGGCCCUGGGUAACCUGCCCAUAAGACUGGGAAACUCCGGGAAACCGGGGCUAAUACCGGAUAACAUUUUGAACCGCAUGGUUCGAAAUUGAAAGGCGGCUUCGGCUGUCACUUAUGGAUGGACCCGCGUCGCAUUAGCUAGUUGGUGAGGUAACGGCUCACCAAGGCAACGAUGCGUAGCCGACCUGAGAGGGUGAUCGGCCACACUGGGACUGAGACACGGCCCAGACUCCUACGGGAGGCAGCAGUAGGGAAUCUUCCGCAAUGGACGAAAGUCUGACGGAGCAACGCCGCGUGAGUGAUGAAGGCUUUCGGGUCUUAAAACUCUGUUGUUAGGGAAGAACAAGUGCUAGUUGAAUAAGCUGGCACCUUGACGGUACCUAACCAGAAAGCCACGGCUAACUACGUGCCAGCAGCCGCGGUAAUUU
This 465-nucleotide ribosomal RNA is filed under the name Bacillus cereus. Its description in RNAcentral is "bacterial SSU rRNA". It matches the Rfam family "Bacterial small subunit ribosomal RNA", at positions 71 to 526 of the family's 1533-position model. The record is from RNAcentral. Lineage: Bacteria; Bacillati; Bacillota; Bacilli; Caryophanales; Bacillaceae.